RNAcentral lists this unclassified non-coding RNA (208 nucleotides) under Hevea brasiliensis (rubber tree). Lineage: Eukaryota; Viridiplantae; Streptophyta; Magnoliopsida; Malpighiales; Euphorbiaceae. The record is from RNAcentral.
GCAUUGUGUGGCUCUCAGGAUCAGUUAGAUGAGACCAGAGUUUGUCUGUCCUGGUUUCUAGAACUGAAAUUUUGUAGGGAUCAAAUUGGUUCCUCACUUAGCAAUUAAAGUCUAUAACCAUCCUUAGACCUUAAUAUUUUUUAAUAUCAUAAGCUUUUCAGAUGGGUGGUGUUUUGACAUUUCUUAACUCCCAAAUACAACAACAACU